Molecule: long non-coding RNA, 538 nt
Organism: Dromiciops gliroides (monito del monte)
Lineage: Eukaryota; Metazoa; Chordata; Mammalia; Microbiotheria; Microbiotheriidae
Exons: 2
Source: RefSeq, a predicted model, not a curated record
AUUCCGCUCUCGGAUGGGUCAGGGCUGGGCAACUCUAGGAAUUAAAGGGACCGCCUUCGAACGCAGACUGGACGGAGAAAUUUAUUAUAAGGAAUAGUGGAAAGAGUGAGUUUGUAGCAAGGGGCUACAUCCUAGACUGGCAGAGCUGGGACGGACUUUAGACCAGAGAAUGUUAAAACUGGAAGAUAAAAUGUCAGGACUUGGAGGGUCUGAGAUACCAUCUGGACCAACCCCCUCGUUUUACAGAUAAGGGUGACCCUAGGACCUUGGAGAGCCCUUGAUUUCCACACGUGAAGCCAUUUCUGGAAGCAGGACGCCUUCUCCCCACACACUGCCCACCCUCUCUCUCCGCUAACUCUGGACACCAGACUUACUCUUGAAAAGCCUGAGUCCCUUCGUCCUUCCCCCAAUUUGUCCCACCGAAGCAUCUCAUUUCCAUCCACCUUCGCCUCCUCCAACCUUCCUCCUUCCCACCGGGAAGCCCCCCUUGGCUUGUUUUUCUCUAAAGAUUCUCUGACUAAAUACCACUCCUUGAAGG